AAUCAGGGCCAUACCACCCUAAAUGCCCCCGAAUCUCAAAUCUUAUCUGAUCUCAGAAGCUAAGCAGGGUUCUGGACUGGUUAGUGCUUAUAUGGGAGACCGCCUGGAAAUACCGGGUGCUGUAGGCU
This is a ribosomal RNA of Loxodonta africana (African savanna elephant), 128 nucleotides long. The record is from Ensembl. Lineage: Eukaryota; Metazoa; Chordata; Mammalia; Proboscidea; Elephantidae.